CAGGGGAUGCGAUGGCUUGGCUUGGGCUCAGAGGCCUGACAGAGACCAUCCCGGCCAACACGGUGAAACCCCGUCUCUCCUAAAAAUACAAAAAAUUAGCCGGGCGUGGUGGUGGGCGCCUGUGGUCCCAGCUACUUGGGAGGCUGAGGCAGGAGAAUGGCAUGAACCUGGGAGGCAGAGCUUGCAGUGAGCCGAGAUCGCACCACUGCACUCCAGCCUGGGCGACAGAGCGAGACUCCGUCUCAAAAAAAAAAAAAAAAAGAGAGAGUGUCAUGAUCAGAUUUGCAUUUGAAAAAUAUUACUCUAAUAGCACAGAGGAGGGAGGACUAUAGUGUGCAGAGGCAGUUAGGAGGUUACUGCUAUAGUGCAGCUAAGAGAUAAGAGCCUGGACGAAGCCAUUGGGAAUGCAGGUGGUGAUUGAAAUUAUUCCAGAGGUGAAAUCCCUGUGACUUGGUGAUUGACUGGGUGCAGGGCCUAUGGUUCAUCCUGCAAUAUCAGAGAAUACACAACUGUUGGAAGCUCAUUUGUGCAGAAGCACUAGUUAGACCAAGUCCCAGGAUGGUGGGGACUUGAACUGCCUCAUGCACAUUGUACCCAAGAGCCUGGCCCAUGAAGGUGAAUCAGUGGAUACUUGAAUAAAAAGAAGAAUAUGCGCUGAAGUUUUCUUUGAGGACAUUUUUUUUUCUUUCCAUAGUUUUGAGCAUCUCUGAUGUUUUGAGAUUUCUGCCAGUCUUUGAGGAUGUAAUGCUCAAUUAGACUUGUUCUCUGUCCUCAAAGAGCUUAUAUAAUAGUUAGUGAGCUAAUUCUCCUGUUUUGAGAGACAGGAGAAAAUGUUAUGUUAUAAUGAGUCAUUCAGACUCUAUCUACUAGGCCUGACUUUGUUACUUUUUAAAAAGCAUUCUUCCACUCCUGCUUGGAUAUCUCUGUAUACAAGACUCAGAGACACGUAUGACGCCCCUUAGGAGGGGUUCUGACGUGCAAAUUUCUGAGACCCAGAAGCACCUACCUUCCAUUUUCCAAUGCCCCAAAUUCUAUGAAAACCACGAGCACAUGCAUUCGUUCCCAUGUUCUCGGGUGCCUCGCCUAUCAGUCAAGGGUCACAAGAUCUGCAGGGCAGUUGCUUUCAAAAUAAAAUGGAUGUGAAAACAGCUGAAGCCCAGCGAGCACUUGAUAACUGCUUCUUUUGAAGGCAAAAUAAGAUUAUUCUAUGAGGUAACAGGCUCCUUCUGGGCUUAAGUAGGCAUAGGGUUUACAGUGUAGAUUCUUGUGCUAUGGUUUUCCCAUAAAAGAGGGAAACCUUGAAAUCACAGCACUUUUGUGGUAGGGAGGAUUUCAAGCAGUGCUUAAUAAGGUGUACAUGACCAUAGCAGAGUGUCCCCCCCCAUCUCAGGGAAAAGGCCCCUGAAAUUAAUCAUGAGAAUCCUCUCCUGUCCCCAGGGACCUAGAUGAACCCUGACUAAUGAAUAUUUAAAUCUCACUCUUUGUCUGCUCUCACACUCAAACCCUGAUUCAUGACUGUAUGCUUUCCAUUUGGCAUGGAACAGAGAUCACAAGUCCACAGGGUAUAGCUCCAUGCCACCUGGGGCUCCUUUAGACAUUAGUAUUAU
RNAcentral lists this long non-coding RNA (1607 nucleotides) under Homo sapiens (human). RNAcentral describes it as "HSALNT0239627". The stretch from base 97 to 148 matches the Rfam family "mir-1268 microRNA precursor family". The record is from RNAcentral. Lineage: Eukaryota; Metazoa; Chordata; Mammalia; Primates; Hominidae.